RNAcentral lists this ribosomal RNA (465 nucleotides) under uncultured bacterium. Its description in RNAcentral is "bacterial SSU rRNA". It matches the Rfam family "Bacterial small subunit ribosomal RNA", at positions 335 to 798 of the family's 1533-position model. The record is from RNAcentral.
ACUCCUACGGGAGGCAGCAGUAGGGAAUAUUGGUCAAUGGGUGAGAGCCUGAACCAGCCAUGCCGCGUGCAGGAAGACGGCCUUCUGGGUUGUAAACUGCUUUUACCAGGGGAUAAAAAGAUCUUGCGAGAUUAAUUGAAGGUACCUGGAGAAUAAGCACCGGCUAACUACGUGCCAGCAGCCGCGGUAAUACGUAGGGUGCAAGCGUUGUCCGGAUUUAUUGGGUUUAAAGGGUGCGUAGGCGGGCUAUUAAGUCAGAGGUGAAAUCUUGCAGCUCAACUGUAAAAUUGCCUUUGAUACUGGUUGUCUUGAGUUAUUAUGAAGUGGUUAGAAUAUGUAGUGUAGCGGUGAAAUGCAUAGAUAUUACAUAGAAUACCAAUUGCGAAGGCAGAUCACUAAUAAUAUACUGACACUGAUGGACGAAAGCGUGGGUAGCGAACAGGAUUAGAUACCCUGGUAGGCUCU